Molecule: ribosomal RNA, 465 nt
Filed under: uncultured bacterium
Lineage: Bacteria
Description: partial 16S ribosomal RNA
Rfam family: Bacterial small subunit ribosomal RNA
Source: RNAcentral
GACGAACGCUGGCGGCGUGCUUAACACAUGCAAGUCGAACGGAAAGGCCCUGCUUGCAGGGUACUCGAGUGGCGAACGGGUGAGUAACACGUGGGUGAUCUGCCCUGCACUUCGGGAUAAGCUUGGGGAACUGGGUCUAAUACCGGAUAGGACCGCACUUUAGUGUGUGUGGUGGAAAGUUUUUUCGGUGUAGGAUGAGCUCGCGGCCUAUCAGCUUGUUUGUGGGGUAAUGGCCCACCAAGGCGGCGACGGGUAGCCGGCCUGAGAGGGUGUGCGGCCACAUUGGGAGUGAGAGACGGCCCAGACUCCCACGGGAAGCAGCAGUGGGGAAUAAUGCACAAUGGGCGCAAGCCUGAUGCAGCGACGCCGCGGGGGGGAAGAAGGCCUUCGGGUUGUAAACUCCUUUCGCUAGGGACGAAGCUUUUUGUGACGGUACCUAGAGAAGAAGCACCGGCUAACUACGUG